GAAAAAUCCUCAUCCUUUGUUUUUGACAUAAUCAUAGCUGAAACAUGAUUUUGUGACGGCGAAACAGAGUUAAGUUUCUUCUGUUUGUUUUUCUUAGAAUAGAACAAAUCAGGAAAAGGAGAAGAAUAAGAAGGCACAGUAGUAGCAGGUUCAGAAUUCAGAAUGCUCUGAAAAUUUUCAACGCUUUUAUGUCUAUGCUGCUUCUUCAUUGGAGGUUCAGAAUUUAUAAUGUUCUGAAAAUUUUCAACGCUUUUAUUAUGUCUAUGCUUCUUCUUCAUUGGAGGUUCAGAAUUUAUAAUGUUCUGAAAAUUUUCAACGCUUUUAUGUCUAUGCUUCUUCUUUCCUUUCAAAGAUUGUUGCAUUUUCUCAUCCUUCGUUACAAUUAACUUUUUAUUCUUUCUCUCUGCAGCAGUGUUAUUUUUUGUUUUCU
This 430-nucleotide long non-coding RNA is filed under the name Medicago truncatula (barrel medic). RNAcentral describes it as "long non-coding RNA (MTRU_LNC000026)". Lineage: Eukaryota; Viridiplantae; Streptophyta; Magnoliopsida; Fabales; Fabaceae. The record is from RNAcentral.